Molecule: ribosomal RNA, 391 nt
Filed under: uncultured Rozellomycota
Lineage: Eukaryota; Fungi; Rozellomycota
Description: uncultured Cryptomycota partial small subunit ribosomal RNA
Rfam family: Eukaryotic small subunit ribosomal RNA
Source: RNAcentral
GCUUGUCUCAAAGAUUAAGCCAUGCAUGUCUAAGUAUAAGCACCCUUAUACUGCGAAACUGCGUACAGCUCAUUAUAUCAGCAAUUAUUUAUUUGAAGGUCACCUAUUACAUGGAUAACCGUGGUAAUUCUAGAGCUAAUACAUGCGAAAAGUCGGCGCAAGUCGAUGUAUUUAUUAGAUAAAAACCAAUGCCUCGUGCUUUUGGUGAGUCAUGAUAACUGCGCGGAUCGCAUGGCCUUGCGCCGGCGACGCUUCAUUCAAAUUUCUGCCCUAUCAACUUUCGAUGGUAAGAUAGAGGCUUACCAUGGUGUUAACGGGUAACGGGGAAUUGGGGUUCGAUUCCGGAGAGGGAGCCUGAGAAAUGGCUACCACUUCCAAGGAAGGCAGCAGG